This is a long non-coding RNA of Lathyrus oleraceus (garden pea), 2082 nucleotides long. RefSeq lists it as uncharacterized. Lineage: Eukaryota; Viridiplantae; Streptophyta; Magnoliopsida; Fabales; Fabaceae. The transcript has 2 exons. The record is from RefSeq and is a predicted model, not a curated record.
GCUACUGCUACGCGUGGCAGUGAUGAUGUGGAGUGGACACUCCUCGGACCAGUCAACAAAUCAACGUAUCAAUGCAAUUAAUGAGCAGUCAAUGGAAUCAAUAUCGAUAAUGGAUAAAAGAGCAUGCAGAUUCAGGUGGCAUCGCGUUCUCCUUCCUCUCACUAACUCAACUCCGAUCACUUUCUGUUACACACUCCGCCGUACCGAAGGCGGUCCUUGGUGGCGAAGGCGGAAUGAACACGAUUGAAUCCUAACAUCCUAAUCGAAUCAUGGUGUUGAUCACGAAUAUAAUGGCGAAAUUUCCUAAUCCUUCCAGAAUUUCUCAAAUCGGCAAGAGAUAUGUAGGAACCCUAACUGGUAAAACCUACAUCAGCCGCCACUCUCCAAGAAUCGGAGCCCGAGGGAUUAGGGCUCCGAUCCGCCUACAUCUCCUCUACGUCACGGCGACAAUGAAAUGAAAGAAAAAGGAUUUGAAACUCACCUUGCCAAAGACGACGACUGCGACAGCGAAAUCUCUACUUCCAGGUAUUUUGUUUGUUUUUUUUCCAGUGACUCCCUUGGUUGUUCAUCGUCUGCUGAUCUCAUGCCGCCUGCCUUGCUGUCAGGAUUGUAGUAGGACUAUAAUGGCUUGCUGCUGCUAUUGCGGUUUAGGUAGCGGCAGGAUUAAUGCUGCUGCUAUUGCGGUUUAGGUAGCGGCAGGAUUAAUGCUGCUGCUGUUUGUGGCAAGGGAUGAGCUACUGAACAUAUUCUGACUUGUAAGACUAUUUGAAACCACAUGUGGAGAUGGGGAUGGAAAUGUAGGGCUUAAAGCAGUAGACCCCUUAUUUUGACUUGAGCUGUUGCCAAAAGUAAAUAUAUUCGCGGGUGAUAUCGCCAAGGACGUGUAUGCUGCAGAUGGUUAAAGUUUGGAUUAUUUCAUGACUUGUUGAUUUGUUAACUGUUGUUGUUAUUGCUUUUGAAAUGUUUGGCUCAAUUUGCUUUGCACUACAGGGGUUUGCAUCGGUUAGUUAUGUGGUUUCUACUGAAUCGUUGAUGUUAUUGCCAUGCCAAUGUAUUGUUGAAAACUUGUUUCAAGACCAUGGUUUGCUCGAUGACUUGUGGAAAUGGUUCCAUGCUGACUGUUCAUGUUGCAACAGGUUCUAUUAUAUUGAAAUGCUCAUGCUAUGCCAUGUUGUUGAUAAUCCGUUAUGUUUUAGUUUCAAUUAGGGUUUGGUUAGGGAAUUGCCUUAGCCUUAUUAAUGUGGUUAGAAAGUUAGGAUGUGGAGUGAAGGUUAAUUGGUUGGGGUGAAUGGUAUUGGAUGCUCAUGGCUUGUUUUGUUUGUCAGGUAGCUCGAAAACUGGAAGUAGUUUUGGCUGCAACAUGGUUUUGUAUGCAAUGCUUCACAUUGUAAUUAACUGGUACAAACCUGAUCAUGCUAUGUGAAUGUGUUUUGCUUCUAACUGCUCAAUUGGACUUUGCAUUACCAUGUUUGUUGUACCAUGCUGUUUGCUGCCUUAAUUUCACUUGGUUGUCACACUGUCUUCUGAACUAAACCAGACGUAGGAUUAUUGUGAUGUUACUGACUUGAUGCAUGCCUUCAUUACGGGUCUGAGUUUACUUGAUUUUGUUGUAGCCCUAGUGUGAUUGGACUGGUUCACAGCUUGGCUGCAAGCAUGUUUGAUCUGCUUGUGGAUGUGUGGAAUGCAAUAUGAUGGUAUUGCAGCAUUAUUGUAAGGUUUGCAAUGGCUUGGGGAUGUUGACUGUAUUGUUGUGUUUGGUAGGCUGUUUUGAAUGGUUUUAUUGAUAUGUGUUAUGGUCACGAACAUGCACACUUGGAAAUGAUAUGGCGCACGUGAAUUUCUUUUUGUAAGAGAUGGAGGGAUGCAAGAUUUGAUCAUGAAGACCAAUGAAAAUAGGACUUAGGGAUUUUGACAUGAUGAGUUGACUUUGUUCAACUGGUUGACCAAAAAGUCAAUAGUUGAUCAAAAGUCAACUCAUGCAAAAAAAUAUAAUUUCUUUGUAACUUUUUUAAUACAAUGAACAUGGACAAUGAUAUGUAUGAAUGUAAUGAUUUGUUAUGAAUGAAUGGGAUUUGAAUGACA